Molecule: ribosomal RNA, 360 nt
Filed under: Triticum aestivum (bread wheat)
Lineage: Eukaryota; Viridiplantae; Streptophyta; Magnoliopsida; Poales; Poaceae
Description: partial small subunit ribosomal RNA
Source: RNAcentral
AUGAUCAGCCACCCAGCUUCUGCCACUCUUUCUCCCAAGGAAUUCACUGCCAUGAUUCUACCUACCUUGACUGAGCUCACUGAUCAUUCAGAGAUAUUUAUCUAUCAGCACACUCAUCAGUCAUCAAGUCAAAGUGGGAUCUCAGCAGCACCAGUCGCUCACUCGCUGGUGGGCCAGCCCUUCCCUCCCAUGCAAGCAAGCAAGCCCAUCCACCUCGGCUCAAUGACAGACAAUAGGCAUGGAGCAAGUGAGUGCACCUCCAGCUCCAUUUGCUAUAAAUGGAGCCCUCCUGCUGGGAUCUGCAAGAGAACACAGUCAGACAACAUCCACAACACAAGACAAGGAAGCAGUGAAGAGUAG